Molecule: non-coding RNA, 79 nt
Filed under: Acidaminococcus fermentans
Lineage: Bacteria; Bacillati; Bacillota; Negativicutes; Acidaminococcales; Acidaminococcaceae
Also listed under: 1 other name
Description: ZTP sequence
Rfam family: ZMP/ZTP riboswitch aptamer (pfl RNA motif)
About the family: Previously known as pfl RNA. ZMP is also known as AICAR.
Source: RNAcentral
GACAGAUCAUGUGACUGACGGAAGUGGGUUUACCCACAGGGAGCAUGGUCGUAGAACGCCGACCGUCUGGGCACCUGCU